This 310-nucleotide unclassified non-coding RNA is filed under the name Melitaea cinxia (Glanville fritillary). RNAcentral's name for it is "misc RNA ENSMCXG00005002499.1". The record is from RNAcentral. Lineage: Eukaryota; Metazoa; Arthropoda; Insecta; Lepidoptera; Nymphalidae.
CUACGUUGUAUUAUACCGCAUAACUUUCUACUGGAUGUACUGAUUUUGAUAAUUCUUUUUUUGUUGGAAAGGGGAUAUCCCUAGUUUGGAAUCGAGGGAAACUCUCGAAAAUCCGUAAUAACUUUUUACUGGGUGUACCGAUUUUGAUAAUUUUUAAUUUAAUCGAAAGCUGAUGUUUAUCAUGUGGUCACAUAUAAAUUUCAUCGAGAUCUGAUAACAACUUUUUGAGUAAUCUUUAAUAACGCGUAGUUGCUCGACUAUUUUUUCGUCGAUCUACGUUGUAUUACUUGUCGAUGUAAUUGAAGUCGGU